CCAGGACCUGACACCAGUCUCUCUGAUGGGACAAAAGGGCUGUCCCCCAAGUUGCCCCCUCUCCCUCUUGACUUCCUUCCCAACAAUGGAGUGACAAAAGCCAAACCACAGGGGCAUCAAAAGUCCCAAGAGCAGAUUUCAGGGGAAACUUAAGAAGGCUGGAACAGGAAGCAGCUGAGCAGGCAGCCCACAACAUUCCCAGGCACCAAGGGAAUAGCCAGAACAGGAUGGUGUACCUGUGUCCUAGAGGAGUAUAUAAUGUGACAGAGUGAACAGUGACUGGACUGUGUAGGAGCUCCUUGACUUUGAAGGUAACUAAACUGGGUUUGAAUCAACACUACUCCCUCCUAGCUGUG
This 356-nucleotide long non-coding RNA is filed under the name Mus spicilegus (steppe mouse). Its description in RNAcentral is "lncRNA (ENSMSIG00000028261.1)". Lineage: Eukaryota; Metazoa; Chordata; Mammalia; Rodentia; Muridae. The record is from RNAcentral.